UUUAUUGCUGAAAGAUGGCCUCGCGUCUGAUUAGCUGGUUGGUGAGGUAACGGCCCACCAAGGCGACGAUCAGUAGCCGGUCUGAGAGGAUGAACGGCCACAUUGGGACUGAGAUACGGCCCAGACUCCUACGGGAGGCAGCAGUGGGGAAUAUUGGGCAAUGGGGGAAACCCUGACCCAGCAACGCCGCGUGAAGGAAGAAGGCCUUCGGGUUGUAAACUUCUUUUACCAGGGACGAAAAAGAUGACGGUACCUGGAGAAAAAGCAACGGCUAACUACGUGCCAGCAGCCGCGGUAAUACGUAGGUUGCAAGCGUUGUCCGGAUUUACUGGGUGUAAAGGGCGUGUAGGCGGAGAUGCAAGUUGGGAGUGAAAUCCAUGGGCUCAACCCAUGAACUGCUCUCAAAACUGUAUCCCUUGAGUAUCGGAGAGGCAAGCGGAAUUCCUAGUGUAGCGGUGAAAUGCGUAGAUAUUAGGAGGAACACCAGUGGCGAAGGCGGCUUGCUGGACGACAACUGACGCUGAGGCGCGAAAGCGUGGGGAGCAAACAGGAUUAGAUACCCUGGUAGUCCACGCUGUAAACGAUGAAUACUAGGUGUGGGAGGACUGACCCCUUCCGUGCCGCAGUUAACACAAUAAGUAUUCCACCUGGGGAGUACGACCGCAAGGUUGAAACUCAAAGGAAUUGACGGGGGCCCGCACAAGCAGUGGAUUUAUGUGGUUUAAUUCGACGCAACGCGAAGAACCUUACCAGGACUUGACAUCCAACUAACGAAGUAGAGAUACAUUAGGUGCCCUUCGGGGAAAGUUGAAACAGGUGGUGCAUGGUUGUCGUCAGCUC
RNAcentral lists this ribosomal RNA (840 nucleotides) under uncultured bacterium. Its description in RNAcentral is "bacterial SSU rRNA". It matches the Rfam family "Bacterial small subunit ribosomal RNA", at positions 211 to 1061 of the family's 1533-position model. The record is from RNAcentral.